RNAcentral lists this ribosomal RNA (137 nucleotides) under uncultured eukaryote. RNAcentral's name for it is "partial 18S ribosomal RNA". It matches the Rfam family "Eukaryotic small subunit ribosomal RNA", at positions 1299 to 1458 of the family's 1831-position model. The record is from RNAcentral.
UGGUGGAGUGAUUUGUCUGCUUAAUUGCGUUAACGAACGAGACCUUAGCCUGCUAAAUAGAUAUGGGAAGUUUGCUUCCUACUAUCUUCUUAGAGGGACUUCGUGUGUUUAGCACGAGGAAGUUUGAGGCAAUAACA